Molecule: ribosomal RNA, 465 nt
Filed under: Vreelandella stevensii
Lineage: Bacteria; Pseudomonadati; Pseudomonadota; Gammaproteobacteria; Oceanospirillales; Halomonadaceae
Description: partial 16S ribosomal RNA
Rfam family: Bacterial small subunit ribosomal RNA
Source: RNAcentral
CCUACGGGUGGCAGCAGUGGGGAAUAUUGGACAAUGGGGGCAACCCUGAUCCAGCCAUGCCGCGUGUGUGAAGAAGGCCCUCGGGUUGUAAAGCACUUUCAGUGAGGAAGAACGCCUGGUGGUUAAUACCCAUCAGGAAAGACAUCACUCACAGAAGAAGCACCGGCUAACUCCAUGCCAGCAGCCGCGGUAAUACGGAGGGUGCGAGCGUUAAUCGGAAUUACUGGGCGUAAAGCGCGCGUAGGUGGCUUGAUAAGCCGGUUGUGAAAGCCCCGGGCUCAACCUGGGAACGGCAUCCGGAACUGUCAAGCUAGAGUGCAGGAGAGGAAGGUAGAAUUCCCGGUGUAGCGGUGAAAUGCGUAGAGAUCGGGAGGAAUACCAGUGGCGAAGGCGGCCUUCUGGACUGACACUGACACUGAGGUGCGAAAGCGUGGGUAGCAAACAGGAUUAGAUACCCUAGUAGUC